This 2774-nucleotide ribosomal RNA is filed under the name Escherichia coli. RNAcentral's name for it is "bacterial LSU rRNA". It matches the Rfam family "Bacterial large subunit ribosomal RNA". Lineage: Bacteria; Pseudomonadati; Pseudomonadota; Gammaproteobacteria; Enterobacterales; Enterobacteriaceae. The record is from RNAcentral.
AGCGUACACGGUGGAUGCCCUGGCAGUCAGAGGCGAUGAAGGACGUGCUAAUCUGCGAUAAGCGUCGGUGAGGUGAUAUGAACCGUUAUAACCGGCGAUUUCCGAAUGGGGAAACCCAGUGUGUUUCGACACACUAUCAUUAACUGAAUCCAUAGGUUAAUGAGGCGAACCGGGGGAACUGAAACAUCUAAGUACCCCGAGGAAAAGAAAUCAACCGAGAUUCCCCCAGUAGCGGCGAGCGAACGGGGAGCAGCCCAGAGCCUGAAUCAGUGUGUGUGUUAGUGGAAGCGUCUGGAAAGGCGCGCGAUACAGGGUGACAGCCCCGUACACAAAAAUGCACAUGCUGUGAGCUCGAUGAGUAGGGCGGGACACGUGGUAUCCUGUCUGAAUAUGGGGGGACCAUCCUCCAAGGCUAAAUACUCCUGACUGACCGAUAGUGAACCAGUACCGUGAGGGAAAGGCGAAAAGAACCCCGGCGAGGGGAGUGAAAAAGAACCUGAAACCGUGUACGUACAAGCAGUGGGAGCCUCUUUAUGGGGUGACUGCGUACCUUUUGUAUAAUGGGUCAGCGACUUAUAUUCUGUAGCAAGGUUAACCGAAUAGGGGAGCCGAAGGGAAACCGAGUCUUAACUGGGCGUUAAGUUGCAGGGUAUAGACCCGAAACCCGGUGAUCUAGCCAUGGGCAGGUUGAAGGUUGGGUAACACUAACUGGAGGACCGAACCGACUAAUGUUGAAAAAUUAGCGGAUGACUUGUGGCUGGGGGUGAAAGGCCAAUCAAACCGGGAGAUAGCUGGUUCUCCCCGAAAGCUAUUUAGGUAGCGCCUCGUGAAUUCAUCUCCGGGGGUAGAGCACUGUUUCGGCAAGGGGGUCAUCCCGACUUACCAACCCGAUGCAAACUGCGAAUACCGGAGAAUGUUAUCACGGGAGACACACGGCGGGUGCUAACGUCCGUCGUGAAGAGGGAAACAACCCAGACCGCCAGCUAAGGUCCCAAAGUCAUGGUUAAGUGGGAAACGAUGUGGGAAGGCCCAGACAGCCAGGAUGUUGGCUUAGAAGCAGCCAUCAUUUAAAGAAAGCGUAAUAGCUCACUGGUCGAGUCGGCCUGCGCGGAAGAUGUAACGGGGCUAAACCAUGCACCGAAGCUGCGGCAGCGACGCUUAUGCGUUGUUGGGUAGGGGAGCGUUCUGUAAGCCUGCGAAGGUGUGCUGUGAGGUAUGCUGGAGGUAUCAGAAGUGCGAAUGCUGACAUAAGUAACGAUAAAGCGGGUGAAAAGCCCGCUCGCCGGAAGACCAAGGGUUCCUGUCCAACGUUAAUCGGGGCAGGGUGAGUCGACCCCUAAGGCGAGGCCGAAAGGCGUAGUCGAUGGGAAACAGGUUAAUAUUCCUGUACUUGGUGUUACUGCGAAGGGGGGACGGAGAAGGCUAUGUUGGCCGGGCGACGGUUGUCCCGGUUUAAGCGUGUAGGCUGGUUUUCCAGGCAAAUCCGGAAAAUCAAGGCUGAGGCGUGAUGACGAGGCACUACGGUGCUGAAGCAACAAAUGCCCUGCUUCCAGGAAAAGCCUCUAAGCAUCAGGUAACAUCAAAUCGUACCCCAAACCGACACAGGUGGUCAGGUAGAGAAUACCAAGGCGCUUGAGAGAACUCGGGUGAAGGAACUAGGCAAAAUGGUGCCGUAACUUCGGGAGAAGGCACGCUGAUAUGUAGGUGAAGCGACUUGCUCGUGGAGCUGAAAUCAGUCGAAGAUACCAGCUGGCUGCAACUGUUUAUUAAAAACACAGCACUGUGCAAACACGAAAGUGGACGUAUACGGUGUGACGCCUGCCCGGUGCCGGAAGGUUAAUUGAUGGGGUUAGCGGUAACGCGAAGCUCUUGAUCGAAGCCCCGGUAAACGGCGGCCGUAACUAUAACGGUCCUAAGGUAGCGAAAUUCCUUGUCGGGUAAGUUCCGACCUGCACGAAUGGCGUAAUGAUGGCCAGGCUGUCUCCACCCGAGACUCAGUGAAAUUGAACUCGCUGUGAAGAUGCAGUGUACCCGCGGCAAGACGGAAAGACCCCGUGAACCUUUACUAUAGCUUGACACUGAACAUUGAGCCUUGAUGUGUAGGAUAGGUGGGAGGCUUUGAAGUGUGGACGCCAGUCUGCAUGGAGCCGGCCUUGAAAUACCACCCUUUAAUGUUUGAUGUUCUAACGUUGGCCCCUGAUCGGGGUUGCGGACAGUGUCUGGUGGGUAGUUUGACUGGGGCGGUCUCCUCCUAAAGAGUAACGGAGGAGCACGAAGGUUGGCUAAUCCUGGUCGGACAUCAGGAGGUUAGUGCAAUGGCAUAAGCCAGCUUGACUGCGAGCGUGACGGCGCGAGCAGGUGCGAAAGCAGGUCAUAGUGAUCCGGUGGUUCUGAAUGGAAGGGCCAUCGCUCAACGGAUAAAAGGUACUCCGGGGAUAACAGGCUGAUACCGCCCAAGAGUUCAUAUCGACGGCGGUGUUUGGCACCUCGAUGUCGGCUCAUCACAUCCUGGGGCUGAAGUAGGUCCCAAGGGUAUGGCUGUUCGCCAUUUAAAGUGGUACGCGAGCUGGGUUUAGAACGUCGUGAGACAGUUCGGUCCCUAUCUGCCGUGGGCGCUGGAGAACUGAGGGGGGCUGCUCCUAGUACGAGAGGACCGGAGUGGACGCAUCACUGGUGUUCGGGUUGUCAUGCCAAUGGCACUGCCCGGUAGCUAAAUGCGGAAGAGAUAAGUGCUGAAAGCAUCUAAGCACGAAACUUGCCCCGAGAUGAGUUCU